Molecule: ribosomal RNA, 443 nt
Filed under: uncultured bacterium
Lineage: Bacteria
Description: partial 16S ribosomal RNA
Rfam family: Bacterial small subunit ribosomal RNA
Source: RNAcentral
CCUACGGGUGGCUGCAGUGGGGAAUAUUGGGCAAUGGGCGCAAGCCUGACCCAGCAAAGCCGCGUGAAGGAAUACUGCCCUCGGGUUUUUAACUUCUUUUCUCAGGGACGAAGCAAGUGACGGUACCUGACGAAUAAGCUACGGCUAACUACGUCACAGCAGCCGUGGUAAUACGUAGGUGGCAAGCGGUAUCCGGAUUUAAUGGGGGGAAGGGGCGUGUAGGCGGGAUAGCAAGUCAGAUGUGAAAACCAUGGGCUCAACCUGUGGCCUGCAGUUGAAACUGGUUUUCUUGAGUGCUGGAGAGGCAGACGGAAUGCCUAGUGUAGCGGUGAAAUGCAUAGAUAUUAGGAGGAACACCAGUGGCGAAGGCAGUAUGCUGGACAACAACUGACGCUGAGGCGCGAAAGCGUGGGUAGCGAACAGGAUUAGAUACCCGGGUAGUC